GUGCACAGCUGUGCCACCCUGGACGCGCCCGAUCUCGUCUGACCUCAAAAACCAAGCUGGGUUGGGCCCGAUAGUCAAUGGAUUUGGUAUUUUUAAAUGAACCUCUUGCUUUAAGGUGGAACUGCUCC
RNAcentral lists this ribosomal RNA (128 nucleotides) under Oryzias latipes (Japanese medaka). Lineage: Eukaryota; Metazoa; Chordata; Actinopteri; Beloniformes; Adrianichthyidae. The record is from RNAcentral.